Molecule: long non-coding RNA, 382 nt
Filed under: Vigna radiata
Lineage: Eukaryota; Viridiplantae; Streptophyta; Magnoliopsida; Fabales; Fabaceae
Description: long non-coding RNA (VRAD_LNC004788)
Source: RNAcentral
GAUUGGUUAAGCAAAAGCACAAUAGUUUAGUGCCUUGAGUCUCUUGGGAAAACAAUACUUGGACUUACCAUUUAUUAUUACUUGAAACGAUUUGGUACGCUUGCCAAUUUGUUAACAAGUUUUUGGCGCCGUUGCCAGGGACUCAUGGUAGAACUAUUCUAUGUGUGUGAUUCUUGAUUGAUUAGACUUUCUUUAUUUUAUUUUAUUUGAUAUUAUUUGAUUUGAUUUGAUUUUAUCUUAUUUUGUUUUAUUUUAUUUUAUCUUAUUUUUUUUCAUUUGAUUUGAUUUAAUUUGAUUGGAUUGGAUUUGAUUUGAUUUGAUUUGAUUUGAUUUGAUUUGAUUUGAUUUUAUUUGAUUUUAUUUGAUUUUAUUUUAUUUUUUU